This 468-nucleotide ribosomal RNA is filed under the name uncultured bacterium. Its description in RNAcentral is "partial 16S ribosomal RNA". It matches the Rfam family "Bacterial small subunit ribosomal RNA", at positions 28 to 507 of the family's 1533-position model. The record is from RNAcentral.
GACGAACGCUGGCGGCGUGCCUAACACAUGCAAGUCGAACGGAAAGGCCCGGCUUUUGUGUGGUUCUCGAGUGGCGAACGGGGGAGUAACACGUGAGUAACCUCCCCUUGUCUUUGUGAUAACUUCAGGAAACUGGGGCUAAUAUCCGAUAGGAGCUCCUGCUGCAUGGUGGUGGUUGGAAAGUUUCGGCGGUUGGGGCUGGAUUCGCGGGUUAUCAGCUGGUUUGUGUGGUAGUGGCUUACCAAGGGUUUGACGGGUAGCCGACCUGAGAGGGGGACCGGGCACAUUGGGACUGCGGUAGGGCCCAGACUCGUACGGGCGGCAACAGUGGGAAACCUUGCAGAGUGGGGCGAAGCGAGAUGCGGCAGCGCCGCGUGCGGGAUGCCGGGUUUCGGGUUGUAAACAGCUUUGGCCUGUGACGAAGCGUGAGUGACGGUAAUGGGUAAAGAAGCACCGGCUAACUACGUG